Molecule: long non-coding RNA, 1931 nt
Organism: Sinocyclocheilus grahami
Lineage: Eukaryota; Metazoa; Chordata; Actinopteri; Cypriniformes; Cyprinidae
Exons: 2
Source: RefSeq, a predicted model, not a curated record
GAUGAUGAUGAUGAUGAUGAUGAUGAUGAUGAGGAAGAGCCAAGUGAGACAAAGCCCUUGACUGUUCAGACAUAAACGUUUUCCUCACGCCGCACACAUACUCCCAUGCUCCAUGUGGACCUGCUGACGUACUUCUGUCAUGUUCAGAAGAUGUUUCCCAUUUCUGUUCAGGCUGAGAUCUUCCUCUGAAAACAGACAGGCUUAAAGGUUAAACGAGAGCAGGAAACGGCUACGAUGACAAUUAAAAUAUUUGCAAAGGCUGUUUGGUUUCCCUAAUAAUGCUCCCCCCACUAUGGAUGCAACAAGUCUCCCUGACCCCAUGUUUCUCUGGUUUACUUCAUUUUUCUUUUUCGUUUAUGUUAACUAUCUAAUGUAAAGGAUUGUGUUGUAUAAACAUGUUGGUAAUGUUAAGAAGGACUGGACUGGUGAACUUUCUCAAUGGUUUUUAACCCACAGGUUCGCUUUCCAAUCUAGUGAGAAAAAAUUCAAAUCUGAAAGCUUUUUUCAUUUAGUUUCUUUUGUACCAUUAGAUACAUUGGAUAAUUUGGACGGACCAAGAUAUUUUGUCUUAGAUACCUAAUAAGUGUUACUAUCUAUCAUAAAUCCCAAUGGCACUUGACCUGUGACAUUUCUGUGUUGAACUCUGGGAUAUCUUGCUUGCUUAGAGACGAGAGCUGUGUUUUUGUGCACUUGUGACACGAUCUGCCUCACGUUUUGUGACCCUGAUGAGAAAUAGACCUUGUUAACACAAACAGAGAAGUUAAUAAAUCAGAACGGCAUCUUUGAUUGAGGUAGGCAGUUAUUUAAAACCAAACUCCAUUUGAGUCUCAUGAGGUCGACUGCAUUCAGAAGUGGAAACUACAUCCACAUUUGUGCCAAAUGAUGUGGGAUAUUGAUGCUUUUUUCAUAUGCAUUCAGUUUAUGACCAACUUCCAGUUAAAUAGAUUUUAAACAUGUCAUGCUCACAUCCAUGCAUCAUAGCUUCUGGUUCUGGUUAUCCUAUCUGUUGUUCAAACUCUGAGGUUGACAAAAUCGUACUUCCCCGAGGGGCUGUGGUCCAAAAUAGCCUGUUAGUAGUUAGUUUGUGUUUUAAUAGGGCCGAGGUCCAAUACUAUCCUUCCGUGGGGUUGCAUACUUUUGGCUAGAGGAUUAUUUUACAUUAGCAGUUUCUUUGACUCAUACUGAGGAUACUAUUUAAGAGAUGAAAUACAAAUGUAUCAUUUAUAUAUGGAUUCUAUAAAUCUACCAGAGAUGUUCAUGCCAGCAGUUAAGGUUCAGCAUAAACUGUACUCAAUUUUAUAAUGUCAGACAUGCAGGUUUUUCAUUUGACUGCAUUUUGUACAAUUACUAAAGCCACCAAUAAAUGUUUUCAGUGCUGAUGAUGUUGGAAAGAUUGUUUCUGGACAAUUUAUUGGAGUUAGAAUGCAGAAAACAUCUGAAUUCUGUUCAUCUGCAGUGCUUUGAUUUCUAGUGGGUAUCAAACGCACACAAGAGGUCGCAAAGGUGUUUUUCUCUAUUAAAAAACUGAUAAACCUUGUUAACGCAUCCCUCACAAUUCAUGGUUAUCUCAAGGAGCAGGGAAACCCCUCGUGCCCAAGUGAACGUCUCACUUCUUAAAAUGCUAUGAAUCUUUAACCAUGUCUGUAAGUAGAUGAUCUUGCUGGUCACACUUAGUGUUCUUGUAGAAAUGCUGUGUAUGUCUUCAAUAUUCUUUGUCAUUGACUUUGAAGACCUGGAUAGACUGGGCAUGACACCACGUGUAACUAAAGACAUUUGUAUUUUCUUUCUAUUGAACUUCGCUCACCUUUGUUUUCUGUCCCAUUGUCUUUAUGAGAGAUAAAGAUGCUGAUAUGCCAGUUUUUGUUUUUUUUAAUUGGCAGGAAAUUUGAUUUGCCUUUGGCUGUCUGUCAUAAAAUGUAGUGACAUCAUUU